GGGGUGGUGGCGCAGCUGGCUAGCGCGUAGGUCUCAUAAUCCUGAGGUCGAGAGUUCGAGCCUCUCUCACCCCA
RNAcentral lists this transfer RNA (74 nucleotides) under Populus trichocarpa (black cottonwood). RNAcentral's name for it is "tRNA-Met (CAT) (tRNA-Met-CAT-2-1)". It matches the Rfam family "tRNA". Rfam says of the family: Transfer RNA (tRNA) molecules are approximately 80 nucleotides in length. The record is from RNAcentral. Lineage: Eukaryota; Viridiplantae; Streptophyta; Magnoliopsida; Malpighiales; Salicaceae.